CCCGGUCCUCGGUAGUGGCCUUCAGAAUCUGCACACGGCAGAUCUGCGGGCCUCGAUCGAAGACCGGC
This is a non-coding RNA of Nocardioides sp. Soil797, 68 nucleotides long. The record is from Rfam. Lineage: Bacteria; Bacillati; Actinomycetota; Actinomycetes; Propionibacteriales; Nocardioidaceae.